ACAUACAACCAUACCCACUGGAAAACUCGGGAUCCCGUCCGCUCUCCCAUAGAUAAGCCAGUGAGGGCCGGAUUAGUAGUUGGGUCGGUGACGACCAGCGAAUACCUGGUAUUGUAUGUU
RNAcentral lists this ribosomal RNA (120 nucleotides) under Colletotrichum sublineola. The record is from RNAcentral. Lineage: Eukaryota; Fungi; Ascomycota; Sordariomycetes; Glomerellales; Glomerellaceae.